This 469-nucleotide ribosomal RNA is filed under the name uncultured bacterium. RNAcentral describes it as "partial 16S ribosomal RNA". It matches the Rfam family "Bacterial small subunit ribosomal RNA", at positions 28 to 508 of the family's 1533-position model. The record is from RNAcentral.
GACGAACGCUGGCGGCGUGCUUAACACAUGCAAGUCGAACGGAAAGGCCCUGCUUUUGUGGGGUGCUCGAGUGGCGAACGGGUGAGUAACACGUGAGUAACCUGCCCUUGACUUUGGGAUAACUUCAGGAAACUGGGGCUAAUACCGGAUAGGAGCUCCUGCUGCAUGGUGGGGGUUGGAAAGUUUCGGCGGUUGGGGAUGGACUCGCGGCUUAUCAGCUUGUUGGUGGGGUAGUGGCUUACCAAGGCUUUGACGGGUAGCCGGCCUGAGAGGGUGACCGGCCACAGUGGGACUGAGAUACGGCCCAGACUCCUACGGGAGGCAGCAGUGGGGAAUAUUGAACAAUGGGCGGAAGCCUGAUGCAGCAACGCCGCGUGCGGGAGGACGGCCUUCGGGUUGGAAACCGCUUUCGCCUGUGACGAAGCGUGAGUGACGGUAAUGGGUAAAGAAGCACCGGCUAACUACGUGC